GACCGGACUAGGUCGGGCGGUUAGGCCCCGCUCCCUCGCCCGCGGUAUGGUCUUCAGCGGGGGCCGAACCUGGGUGCGUCCGGUCAGACUGGCGCGGACCCCGGAAGCUAACGUGGAAGCCUCGUCCCUCGGGGGCGGCGGCCCGCGGCGACCACCCGCAGGGGCACGGAAGUGAGCAGCGGACCGCCGGACACCCGUCGCUCGGGGGGUCGCGGGGUGGAGGAGGCCACCGGGACUAUCCACGUCGGAACGCCGGGCAAUCUCGGCGUCCACAU
RNAcentral lists this signal recognition particle RNA (275 nucleotides) under Halobacteriales archaeon SW_7_68_16. Its description in RNAcentral is "signal recognition particle sRNA". It matches the Rfam family "Archaeal signal recognition particle RNA". The record is from RNAcentral. Lineage: Archaea; Methanobacteriati; Methanobacteriota; Halobacteria; Halobacteriales.